RNAcentral lists this unclassified non-coding RNA (253 nucleotides) under uncultured Bacteroidia bacterium. RNAcentral's name for it is "contains 16S-23S intergenic spacer region". It matches the Rfam family "Bacterial small subunit ribosomal RNA", at positions 524 to 776 of the family's 1533-position model. The record is from RNAcentral. Lineage: Bacteria; Pseudomonadati; Bacteroidota; Bacteroidia.
UACGGAGGAUCCAAGCGUUAUCCGGAAUCACUGGGUUUAAAGGGUGCGUAGGCGGACUUUCAAGUCAGAGGUGAAAGCCCGGGGCUUAACUCCGGAAUUGCCUUUGAUACUGAUAGUCUUGAAUAUAGUUGAGGUGGGCGGAAUGAGUCGUGUAGCGGUGAAAUGCAUAGAUAUGACUCAGAACACCCAUUGCGAAGGCAGCUCACUAAACUAUUAUUGACGCUGAGGCACGAAAGCGUGGGGAGCAAACAGG